RNAcentral lists this ribosomal RNA (328 nucleotides) under uncultured soil bacterium. RNAcentral describes it as "bacterial SSU rRNA". It matches the Rfam family "Bacterial small subunit ribosomal RNA", at positions 26 to 381 of the family's 1533-position model. The record is from RNAcentral.
AGAACGAACGCUGGCGGCAUGCCUAAUACAUGCAAGUCGAACGAACUCUUCGGAGUUAGUGGCGCACGGGUGCGUAACGCGUGGGAAUCUGCCCCUUGGUUCGGAAUAACAGUUGGAAACGACUGCUAAUACCGGAUGAUGACGAAAGUCCAAAGAUUUAUCGCCAAGGGAUGAGCCCGCGUAGGAUUAGCUAGUUGGUGAGGUAAAGGCUCACCAAGGCAACGAUCCUUAGCUGGUCUGAGAGGAUGAUCAGCCACACUGGGACUGAGACACGGCCCAGACUCCGUACGGGAGCAGCAGUAGGGAAUAUUGGACAAUGGGACGAAAG